CGUGUAGGCGGUGCGGUAAGUUGGGCGUGAAAUCCCCGAGCUUAACUCGGGUGGGCCGUUCAAGACUGCCGUGCUAGGGUGCGGGAGAAGGAAGUGGAAUUUCCGGUGUAGCGGUGAAAUGCGUAGAUAUCGGGAGGAACACCUGCGGCGAAGGCGGCUUCCUGGACCGUAACCGACGCUGAGGCGCGAAAGCUAGGGGAGCAAACAGGAUUAGAUACCCUGGUAGUCCUAGCCCUAAACGAUGAGCACUGGGUGUGGCCCCUCACGAGGCCGUGCCGAAGCUAACGCAUUAAGUGCUCCGCCUGGGGAGUACGGUCGCAAGGCUGAA
RNAcentral lists this ribosomal RNA (328 nucleotides) under uncultured bacterium. RNAcentral's name for it is "bacterial SSU rRNA". It matches the Rfam family "Bacterial small subunit ribosomal RNA", at positions 568 to 898 of the family's 1533-position model. The record is from RNAcentral.